Molecule: ribosomal RNA, 253 nt
Filed under: uncultured bacterium
Lineage: Bacteria
Description: partial 16S ribosomal RNA
Rfam family: Bacterial small subunit ribosomal RNA
Source: RNAcentral
UACGAAGGGGGCUAGCGUUGCUCGGAAUUACUGGGCGUAAAGGGCGCGUAGGCGGCUGUUUAAGUCGGGGGUGAAAGCCCGGGGCUCAACCUCGGAAUUGCCUUCGAUACUGGACAUCUUGAGUACGGGAGAGGUGAGUGGAACUCCGAGUGUAGAGGUGAAAUUCGUAGAUAUUCGGAAGAACACCAGUGGCGAAGGCGACUCACUGGCCCGUUACUGACGCUGAGGCGCGAAAGCGUGGGGAGCAAACAGG